Molecule: long non-coding RNA, 1856 nt
Organism: Hypanus sabinus (Atlantic stingray)
Lineage: Eukaryota; Metazoa; Chordata; Chondrichthyes; Myliobatiformes; Dasyatidae
Exons: 2
Source: RefSeq, a predicted model, not a curated record
AAACGUCGACAGCGCUUCUCCCUAUACAUGCUGCCUGGCCUGCUGCGUUCCACCAGCAUUUUGUGUGUGUUGCUUGAAUUUCCAGCAUCUGCAGAUUUCCUCAUGUUUGGGGAUCUCAUAGAAACAUUUUGAAUGUUGAAAGGCCUGAACAGAUUAGAUAUGGCAAAAUUAUUUCCCAUGGUAGGGGAGUCUAGCACAAGAGAUCACGACUUCAGGCUUGCAGGACGUCCAUUUAGAACAGAGAUGCGGAUAAAUUACUUUAGUCAGAGGGUGGUAAAUCUGUGGAAUUUUUUGCCAUAAGCAGCUGUGAAGGCCAAGUCAUUGGGUAUGUUUAAGGCAGAGGUAGAUACUUUAUUAGCCAGGGCAUCAAAGGAUAUGGGGAGAAGGCAGGGGAGUGGGUAUGACUGGAAGAAUUGGAUCAGCCCAUGACUGAAUGGCAAAGCAGACUCGAUAUGCUGAAUGGCCUACUUCUGCUUCUACAUCUUAUGGUGUUAUGGUCUAACAGAUAAAAAAUGUCAACCCCCUACCAACUACCAAAGAAAAAAGCUGAUGGGUGAUAAUGGAUAAUUAGAAAAAAAACAUAUUUGCUUAAGAAGAGAAGAUAGAAAUACACAUAAAAGUCUGUGCACUGUUAAACUUUACAAAUUGGAAAAGUAAUUUAGGAAAGGUCCCCAGAUAUCAUAAAAAGAUUGUUUCAAAUUUAAGACUGAGCAGCGGAUCUUCUCUAAAUUUAAAUAAGACAAAAUAUAAAAUAUUACUCAAAUCAUUUCAAAAAGACCCUGGGCCCAGCACGUGGAUGCAAUUACGAAAAAGGUACAGCAGCAUCUCUGCAAAGAUUCAGAAUGACAUCUAGAGCUUUGACAAACUUAUAUAGACAUGCAGUGGAGAGUUUAUUGACUGGCUGCAUCACAGACUGGUAUGCAUCACUGGUCAAGCCCUCUCCACCACUGAGCAAAUCUACACGGAGUAUUGUUGCAGGAAAGCAGUUUCCAUCAUCAUGGAUCCUCACCACCCAGGUCAUGUCCUCUUCUCACUGCCAUCAGGAAGAAGGUACAGGAACCUCAGAACCCACACCACCAAGUUAAGGAACAGAUAUUACAACUCAUUCAUCAGGCUUCUGAACCAGAGGGAAUGACUUCACUCAACUUCACUUGCCUUAUCACGGACCUUCUUCAUUGCUGCUGCUGCUGUGAAGAACAGGCCCCGAGUCCUCGGGGUCGCAUUGCCGUUGGUGGGGCCAUCUUAAUACGCUCGGGAGAGGAUGGUGCUCGGAGAAGCUGUGCCAGAGGGGAUGGUCGUCGGCUCGGAGGUUCGACUGACACAGGUCACUUUCGGUGUGUGCUGCGUCUGCGAGGCUGAGUAGGGCGGCGCCUUGGAAGUCCAUAACAGGGGUAUUCCCUUCUGCCGCCAGCGUGGGAUGGCAAGUCUGUCGGGACCCUGGGGACUUGUGGAAACAGUGGUGAUUUCUUUUGAAUUUACAGUCCUUUAACAUCUUGGACUAUUUUUACUGUACCCAUAGUCUGUUUUUUUUAUCAAUUAUGCUAUUGUUUGCACUAUUGUAACUAUAUGUUGUAAUUAUGUGGUUUUGUGCAGGUCUUGUAGCUUUAGUUUUUGGUCUUGUUUUUGUCUGGUGGGAUUGGAGCUCCUUUCCAGGGAACACACUAAGAUGGUAACACGAUAUUAAUACGCAGCAGCCUCUCCACACUCUGGAUUGGGGAUUGCCAAACGUUAUGUGGAUUUUCUGGUGUAGUCUGUUUUGCCAUAUGCUUUUGUGAUAUUCUGGAGGAACGUUGUCUCAUUUUUUAACUGCAUUGCAUUUGUGGUUUCAAAAUGACAAUAAACUGAAUCUGAAUCUG